RNAcentral lists this ribosomal RNA (254 nucleotides) under uncultured bacterium. Its description in RNAcentral is "partial 16S ribosomal RNA". It matches the Rfam family "Bacterial small subunit ribosomal RNA", at positions 524 to 776 of the family's 1533-position model. The record is from RNAcentral.
UACGGGGGGAGCAAGCGUUGUUCGGAUUUACUGGGCGUAAAGGGCGCGUAGGCGGUCAGCACAAGUCAGUUGUGAAAUCUCCGGGCUUAACUCGGAAAGGUCAACUGAUACUGUGCGACUAGAGUGCAGAAGGGGCAACUGGAAUUCUUGGUGUAGCGGUGAAAUGCGUAGAUAUCAAGAGGAACACCUGCGGCGAAGGCGGGUUGCUGGGCUGACACUGACGCUGAGGCGCGAAAGCCAGGGGAGCGAACGGG